This is a long non-coding RNA of Colius striatus (speckled mousebird), 4850 nucleotides long. RefSeq lists it as uncharacterized. Lineage: Eukaryota; Metazoa; Chordata; Aves; Coliiformes; Coliidae. The transcript is spliced from 2 exons. The record is from RefSeq and is a predicted model, not a curated record.
GCGCAGACAGAGGAGAGAGUUUGUAGCAAUCAGGAGGCUCAAACGAGCGUGGAAGUGGAGAAUCUGGGGGCGCAGACGGGUCCGUCACUGUGUAGGGAGGAGAGUGAGGUGCGGCCCCAGAGCAGAGCCCCCGCGGGAGAGCUGCUUCCCAGUCGAGCCGCUUCCCAGUCGAGCCCCUCCCGCCGGGUUACCCCUGGGACGAGUUGCAGAGGAAGCGGUCGGGGAAUGCCGAGCGGGCGGAGUCGGGCGAGGGUGCGGCGCAGGAUGAUCAGGGGAGAGUGGGGAGGCGCGACCCCGUGUUAGACUGGGAACCAUCAGGCUCGCGAGGGGAGACAAAGAAAAAGAAAACGCAGGAGAAAUUAAUACCGACUGCGCCGCCGGGGCGGGCGGUGCCGAAAAAGGAAAAAAAUCAGCUGCGCCACGACUCACCAAAGAUGGCGCCUGAAGGAGAAGGGGACAGAGUACGUGGAGGUGUCCGGACAUCGCUGCUGAUGGGAGGUACAGAAUAACAGUUUUAUUUGCUUUUGCUUCGCAUCUCGCGAACGCGGCUUCUUUAUUAAACUGCCUUUAUCUCAAAAAAAAAAAAAGUUCUCCUCUACACAAGAUUUUUUACAAAGACAAGGAGGCGAAAAGGACCCAGCGCAGCCGAGAGCAAACACAGAGCGAGCCCGACGCCCGCCGAGACUAGCAGGCCCAGCACGCAGUGAGCCAGACCUCCCCGCCCCUUCCAUCCGCAGCCGCUUCCCGUGGCCAUUUUCUCCGGAGUGCCCUCCCCACCCCGCGCGCCGACACCACCGGACCCAGCCCUCACGGACCGCAGGGCUCAUCCUUUCCAUCCUCAAUCCGUUGCCUCAAGGAUUAUAAAAACUGUUGGCCGCGAUGUCAUGCAGUUUGCUAUAAAUGUGAUGAUGAAUAGUGGUUUUCUUACAGUGGAAACUUUCUAAGGUGUUUUAGGUGUCAGGAAUGGAACUUGGAAGAACAGAACAUUUUGGCAUUGAGAAGUCAGUGACACAUUAAAAAAAAAAAAGUGUAUAAAAAGAAGCUUACCAGGCAUGAAUUGCUCAAAAAUAAAAAGGGGGAAUUGUGGAGGAAUUUCUGUGUGAAAGAGGCCACGGCCUGGUAACAGUGAACAAACCAUGCUGUGAGAACUAAUGUGCGGAUUGUCCUUGAGCUGCUCUCGACUGUGAGAAAAGAAGAAAGAAUGCCUACAUGAUAACAAGCUCGAGCAAGGAGGAGGCUGAAGCAGUAUGUGAAACCGUAAGGCUUAUUGCACAAAGCGCAGCUGGCUUUUAGAGAAAGGACCAAUUAGAAGUAGUGUAAACAUGCUAGCUUUGCUGCUGAUUAUAAAAGUCUGAUGCUUGUUAGUAAAUUUUGAGUUAUGACUUAAAAAAAAAAAAUUGCCUCUUACAUUAAAGGAAAGGGUGCGAUAACUGGGGUUGUUUAGUCUAGAGAGGAGGAGACUGAGGAGAGAUCUUACUAACAUUUACAUAUAUCUAAAUGGUGGAUGUCAGGAGGUUGGAACACCCUUUUUUCUGUUGUAGGACAAAGGGUGGUGGGAUGAAGCUGGAACACAAAAAGUUCCACCUAAAUAAAUAAAAAUAAUACUAAUAAAAAAACCCCAAAAACCCACAAGAAACAAAACCUGUUUUACUGUGAAGGUGAUGGAGCAGUGGAACAGGCUGCCCAGGGGGAUAUUGUGGAGCCUCGUCCCUUGGAGGUCAUCAGGACCCACCUGGGCAUGUUCCUAUGUGACCUGGUCUAGGUGAACCUGCUUCUGGGGGGGGGGGAGGUUGGACAGGGUGAUCUCUGGGGGUCCCUUCCAACCCCUAACAUUCUAACAUUCUAUGAUUCUGUGAUUUAAUGACUGAUGGGGGCAGAUAUGAAUGGGCUCCCCUAGAAACAAAGGUAUUGAAGGAGCUGCAUGGGACUAUAAAGACACAUGCUUUACAGAUGCCUCAUCAAAGACCAACGCAGUGGCAGUGGUGUGGAAACAGGGAGACAAAUGGGAGAAAAUCUUGCAUACUGAUGCCACAAAACCGGUGCAAUAUCUGGAGGCCAAGGCUGUCGCCCUUGCCCUGGAGGCAUGGCAUUCAAUGCCGCUCAAUAUCAUCACGGACUUGAGAUUCAUCACUGAACUAGUUUGACAAUGUGCACGAGCCAUUUGUGCCUCCACCAGUACAGCAGACCUCAUAUUGAAUGCCUUACAAACUCGUGCUGCCCCCUGCUCUAUUGUACACAUCAACAGUCACACCAAUAUUCUGGGGACUCUUAACGAGAUAACCAAAAGGCAGAUGAAGCAGCGACACAUUGUCAUGGUUUGACAUGAUAGCCUUUUCUUGUAAAGGGGAAGGGGCUGUAAAGAUGGCUCCUGUAAGAAGUUGCUCGCAACUCUCCCCAGCUCUGAGCCAGACCCACUUCUGGGGCUGAGCCAAUUAGACACCUCCACAAUCACUUUUUAAGAAGAAGCUAGAAGAGGAGGCUUCUUCCUGUUUUCUUCUUUCUUCUUUCCCUUCUUCCUCUGCUGCUCGUGGUGGUGCAAGGAGUAGGAACAGUGAGAGAAACAACCAUGCGGACUCCAAGGUCAGUGAUGAAAGAGAGGAGGAGGUGUGCUGGAGAGACUCCCCUGCAUUCUAUGGAGAGAACUGGUGAAGCUGAGAUUUAUUUUCAUUUCUUUAAAGACCCCGCAUCGGCGGUAGAGACUCAUUUUGAUAAUAAGCCCGCAUCAGGGGCAGAGACUCAUUUUGCUAAAGCUUGCCCCGGACCAGGGGCAGUGACUAUGGCCAGAGGAGGCCGUGUCCUGUGAGAGGGACCCAACCACUUCAUUGCAGACCCUGAGACAGGGGCAGUGAUUUUCUUCUCUAAAACUAUGGCCGGAAGAGGCCGUGUCCCGAAGAAGGGACCCGAUAUCCACAGCUGUAACUGUGGGAAGGAACCCACGACAAAGCAGCUCAUUAAACUUAUGCCUAGAAGAGGCCUGAGAGAGGGACCUUGUAACUGCAGAAACUGCAACCGCGGUGAAGAAUCCACGCCAGAGAUAUUCACCAAGGACUGCUUCCUGUGUGAGGGAACCUGUAUCGGCAGAAGCCGCAGCUGUUGGGAACAACCCACACCAGAGAAGUUCGUUAAGGACUGUGUUCCGGGGGAGGAACCCCGUGUUGAAGCAGGGGAAGAAUGCCAGGAGUCGUCCUCAUCUGAGAAGACAGAAGCGGCAGAGCCCAUCUGUGAAAGACUGACCACAUCCCCCAUUCCCUGCCCCCCGCCGAGCCGUUGUAGGGGGAGGAGGUAGAGAUACCAGGAGCAGUGAGCUGGGCCCGGGAAGAAAGGAGGGAUGGGGGAGGGAGAUCUUAAAGUGCUGGUUGUAAUUUUCUCAUCAUCCUACUCCCUUUUUGCUAUUAUUCCCUUCUGUUUCUUGUAGAAUAAACUUUCCUACUUUCCUCUCUAAGUCGAGUACUGUUUUGCCUGAAACCAUAAUUGGCAGUGAGCCCUCCCUGCCCUUGUCCUUUUUCCUCCCAUUUCGCUGGGUCCUCCACUAUCCUAACAAGGGUGGGAGUGAAUGGGGUCACCGAGCGAGAGACUGUUGUGGUGCUGCUAUUCUUGCUGGGCCAAACCACGACACACAUGUAUGACCUAUCUCCACCCAAGAGGAUUUCCCAGCGGCCAGACAGCUGCAGACCUUUUUGCAUUGUGGAGCACAGGCUCUACAUCAUCAGACCAAGAUCCCUCUCCAAGUGACAAAGCAGAUAGUUGCUACUUGCCCUCAAUGUGCUUCAGUGCUACCAUGGGAAGCCAGAGUUAACCCCCGAGAGUUGCUCCCGAAUCAGAUCUGGCAAACGGAUAUCACAAUUUAUGAGCCCUUUCGUUCCAACCAUCACCUCCAUGUCACCAUUGACACUUGCAGUGGCUACAUACUAGUUACCCUCAUGCGCUGAGCCACAGCGCACCACAGGAUCAGGCACUGGCUACAAUGUAUAGCCAUCCUAGGGUGUCCUGAACAAAUCAAAACUGACAAUGGGACUUGUUACACCUUCCAUGUGACACAGGAAUUCUGUCAAACCUGGCAGAUUAAAUUGGUGCACAGUAUCCCUCACAAUAGCCAGGGACAGACGAUUGUUGAAUAUACUCAUGCUACUUUAAAAGUACAGCUCAACCAUUUUAGGGAGGGGGAGAGUAUGGGACAUAGAACUCCCCCCAUAGGCAACACGAUAUUUUAAUGCGCUGUCUGUACAUCCUUAACCAUUUUGUUCGAGGGUCAGGACCCAUACCAGCGCAAGCACACUUUAGGGAGCAAGAACCAGUAGCAGUAGAUAAAUUACCAGCAGUCAAAUUGCGGCAAAUCGACACUCGGAAGUGGGAGUCAGGGUGGAAGCUCAGAUGCCUGGGCGGAGGGUAUGCUUCUGUAGAAAAGGAGGGAACCCAGCAGUGGGUCCUGGAAAAACGAAUACAACCAGAGAUAUGAGUCUAACGGUUUGUUGAGUUUAUUUUGCAGGUUGACGUGUUCUUCGGAGCGCUCACUGCGAUGCAGAUUCAGCUGGGGUCACUCAACUAUUGACGAGAUUGGGCAGUGAAGUGGAACAUGACCAGCACCUGUUUAUAUCUUCCCGCAAUUGACUCAGCUAGCAUGUGUCCUGGGCAGACAUGUUAUGUAUCAGUCUGUGCCACAGGAUGCUGGAGUCAUCAAGCUUAGGGAGGGUGAGACGUUGUAGGUGUCCGGAAGAUCUCGGGUUGUAAUGCGAGAGGUGGACGGUACAGAAGAGGCGGGCAUGGGUUGGACUGAAAGGAGAUGCUUGUGUUAGCAGAUAAAAGCACAUGGUGUAAACAAUUAGUUGGAAUAAAGCACCAUCCAUACUGUG